This 254-nucleotide ribosomal RNA is filed under the name uncultured bacterium. RNAcentral describes it as "partial 16S ribosomal RNA". It matches the Rfam family "Bacterial small subunit ribosomal RNA", at positions 524 to 776 of the family's 1533-position model. The record is from RNAcentral.
UACGUAGGGUGCGAGCGUUGUCCGGAAUUAUUGGGCGUAAAGAGCUCGUAGGCGGUGUGUCACGUCGGCCGUGGAAACCUGCAGCUUAACUGUGGGCGUGCGGUCGAUACGGGCAUCACUGGAGUUCGGCAGGGGAGACUGGAAUUCCUGGUGUAGCGGUGAAAUGCGCAGAUAUCAGGAGGAACACCGGUGGCGAAGGCGGGUCUCUGGGCCGAUACUGACGCUGAGGAGCGAAAGCGUGGGGAGCAAACAGG